Molecule: ribosomal RNA, 700 nt
Filed under: uncultured bacterium
Lineage: Bacteria
Description: bacterial SSU rRNA
Rfam family: Bacterial small subunit ribosomal RNA
Source: RNAcentral
GGGCGUAAGGGCUCGCAGGUGGUUUGUUAAGUUGGUGGUUUAAUCUCUGGGCUCAACCCAGAGUCAGCCUCCAAAACUGGCGAACUUGAGUACGAUAGGGGAUAGCGGAAUUCUCGGUGUAGCGGUGGAAUGCGUAGAUAUCGAGAGGAACACCAAUGGCGAAGGCAGCUAUCUGGAUCGUAACUGACACUCAUGAGCGAAAGUGCGGGGAGCGAACAGGAUUAGAUACCCUGGUAGUCCGCACCGUAAACGUUGUAUACUAGUUGUUGGCGGUUUCAACGCCGUCAGUGACGACGCUAACGCAUUAAGUAUACCGCCUGGGGAGUAUGCUCGCAAGGGUGAAACUCAAAGAAAUUGACGGGGGCCCGCACAAGCGGUGGAGCAUGUGGUUUAAUUCGACGAUACGCGAGAAACCUUACCUGGGUUUGACAUGGAUUUGACUGGGAUAGAGAUAUUCCUUCCCGCAAGGGCAGAUUCACAGGUGUUGCAUGGUCGUCGUCAGCUCGUGUUGUGAGAUGUUGGGUUAAGUCCCGCAACGAGCGCAACCCCUAUCUUCUGUUGCCAAUAUUAAGUUAGGCACUCUGAAGAAACCGCCGGUGACAAACCGGAGGAAGGUGGGGAUGACGUCAGAUCAGCAUGGCCCUUAUAUCCAGGGCUACACACGUGCUACAAUGGCCGGUACAGAGGGACGCAAAGCCGC